Long non-coding RNA from Spinacia oleracea (spinach), 3211 nucleotides. RefSeq lists it as uncharacterized. The record is from RefSeq and is a predicted model, not a curated record. The transcript is spliced from 2 exons. NCBI's taxonomy places the organism in Eukaryota, Viridiplantae, Streptophyta, Magnoliopsida, Caryophyllales, Amaranthaceae.
UAAUUUCUUUCUACUUUCGUACUGGAGACUUUUUUGGCUGAUCACAUAGGACACUAGUUGACAUAUCAUCCAGUAUUAAUUAAAACGUGUGGGAACAAAAGGGGAUGUUAUUUAUUUAUUUAUUUAUUUUCAGAAAUAAGAUGAAGGACCCUACGCCCCUACCGGUCUGGAAUUCCUCUUGGGUUAACCCGGCCCGAGGUACUUACUUUGGGAGGAGGAGGGAAGGAUAAGGGGAAACUCUCCUCCAAAGUUAAAUCUUUUGAAGGUGCAAUGAAUUUUGUUGAAGAUGGAACUAGUGCCAACUCGUGUGGACUUUACUUGACAAUUAUCCAUUAGAGUAUCCAUUUUUUGCUCCGUCAAAGGUUUUUUUCCUUCAUAAUUUACUCCGUACUAAAAUUGUUCUAGAAUAAUGUCAGUAUUGGAGUGAUUGAGUUGACUACUUAUUAUGGAGUAUUUAAUUGAUUUUACUAUAAAAAAAAUUCCCCCUCUCUUCCUUGGCAAUACAUGAUGGAAACGUAGUCAUAGACAAUUUUAUUUUAUUUUUUUUUACUUGACAUAGGCUCAAACUUGCAUAAAGUAAAAAGUCUUACAAAAAUUACAAAAAUUAAACUAAAAACCGAAUUAAUAGAUAACGCAAGGGCCCUGUGCUCUUCUUGUUUUAGCCCGUAAUUGUUGAAAACGCCUUGCUCAUGCCACUUACAUGACGUUAUAUUGUCAAGGCACAAUGCAUCUAUGUUUCCUUUAUAGUAGAUGGUACUAAUGUUAUGGAAAACAUGGGGAACAAGGAUAGGAGAGAAAGAUAACCAAUGUGAUAGGCUAGGUUGAUUCACCUUGUGUAUUGCGCACAAGUGUCUACACACAACUUGUUUAGCAUACUAUAAACCCCCACAAAAUGAGGAGCGGUGUUUAAAUAAAGAUUUUUGAAAGCGCUAAGAGAAACCCUCAACGCUAACCUAAAGGGAGAAAUAACAAAAGUUACUCUCCACGACCAAAUGACAACCCAAACCGGAGGACACUGACCCUUCUUGUUACUCAUUACUCCUUUCCUAAAACAACUAAGACUUUUACCCCUAGGCCCACUCUCAAACUCAAACGAGAUAAUUUCCAUUAUUCUAACACUAGCAUUAGAAACGGAGAGACUAACUUUAUCACAUAAUAACUCCCCAAACCAACCAACAAACCCCCUAAUUUGAACCUCAAAAGGGGUAAACCACCUACAACCUGGAUAACUUCUUAAGAAGAACCCAGAUAACACCAGGAAACACGCACAGGUGACCUCUUAUGUCAACAACCUUAGACGGACCAAUCUUAGAAAAAACAACAAAAAACUACAAAAAAAUCCCAAAAUGCAUCAUUAAAACUGAGCAUCUUAUUCAACUAAUCUAGAGACUACCACAAAGCAAAGCAGAGGAGAACAUGCACACACUAAUGGAAAUUUAAUCCCAACAACCUGAAAUCCUAAAACUAUUUACCGUCAAGGUCGGGGUGAGUCGACACUACAGGACGGCGGUGGUCACCUUUACCAUCAAGAUCGGGGUGGUCCGACACAAAACAAGACGACGACGAUUAGAAAGGACCGGGAAAACAAGCCAACAUAGGGUACUACCCUAAACCUACAAACAGAAACAACCAAGACGAACAAUUCCAAAUCCAACAACAAACCCUUACCCUAACCAAAAUUACCUCACCGAUAAACAGAGGCGGGUCAAAGGGUGGGAUUGGAAGAGCGGCGACGAGGUUGAAAUUCUGACCUGUUAAAUUACCUCUGAACACAAAAUCAAAUCUUUGCUUGGAUACUCCGGUAACCCGAACAAGAAACUCCUGCGAUAUCUAAUACCUCCCGACACCUAAACAACAAACCCGACGAGAGGAGCACGAACAAAGAGGAGGAGGAAACAAUGCUUGGUUCCUCUUUCAACCCUCAACCGAGUGAACACAACCCUUACUAGACUAAAGAAACAACAAAAAACUACUACAGAAACGACGCACAAGCUCGUCGGCGGCCGUUAAGGCGACGACCACCAGCGAGCUUAUGGUGGCGGCGGUUAGGGUUUUGAGGUUUAGGGUUUUCUUUGGAGGCACUACAAAAUUAUGCAUCAAUUAGAGAUGGAUUUUGAGAUGGAUUUUGAGACGGAUACAAUCAACGUCUCAAACUUGAGACGAGUUACUAAAACUUGGUCUCUAAAUUAAAAUUGAGAUGAAAUUGUACAUAGUGUUUCAAACAUUCCGUCUCAAGUUUGUAAUGGGUUCGCAAAAAUUCCGUCUCAAAUUUUUUUGAGACGCCCUCUAUAGAGACGCCCUAUUUAUGUCUCAAAUCCGUCUCUAAGCAUCAUUUUGAGACGGAUUUGGACUAUAUAGAGACGAAAUUUCUCGUCUCUAUAAAAUGAUUAUUUUGUAGUGAGGAGAGGAAGUUAGAGAGAGAACGGGGAUUCGAUUGUUUUAUUUUAUUAUGGGUGCAAAGAUUAUGAAAUCGUUAAAGGCUAUCAACAAAUACUAAAAUUAUACUCGUAUUAUGGUCCGGAUAUUUAGACAGAAUCUCAUUAUUUUAUCAUUACUAUAAUCAUAGUAGUCACGACAUCAUAUAAAAGGGAAUAAAGAAUACAUUUCACUUAGCAAAAUACUUCAUCCGUUCUUAUUUAUAUACACAAUUGAGAUUUUGACACUAUUCACACAAGUUUUUUUGAAUUCGUUUUGCGAUUUAUACAUAAGAAAAAAUAGCCGUGUGGGGCCUUAUUAGAUUAGUCUCAAAAAAUAUUUUUUGAAUAUUAAAUUUUCAUAAUUCUUUUCUUAUACAUAAUGAGAUAUAUUAGAGCACAUACAACCUUGAUAUAUAGCUUGGGUCAAGUGAUAAUUGACAGGAUAAAAUGACUACAAUGUUGACAGUGUACAAGGGUCAAAAUUUAAUUAACUUGACCCGGGUCGCAUAUGUGACCUAAGGUCAAGUGCAUUAAAAUUGGAGGUGGGACCGACUUCUGCUCCACUUGCGAUUACAUCGGCUGUUUGCAUGCAAAUAUUUGAUGUAAUUUGUACCGUGAUUAUAUACUGUAUGCAUGUAACAAAUAUUUCAAGUUGUUGAGCUCAUGUGAACCUGCCACGAAUGCAAGCAUGUAAUUAAUUUUUUUAUUUUUUUUUUGUUUUUCAUUUUGCAUGAUAACAAUCCAGUUAUGUAUAAAUUUUACUUCAUUGUGUUAUAUAUGUAUGUUUAAGAUUA